Molecule: unclassified non-coding RNA, 212 nt
Filed under: Hevea brasiliensis (rubber tree)
Lineage: Eukaryota; Viridiplantae; Streptophyta; Magnoliopsida; Malpighiales; Euphorbiaceae
Source: RNAcentral
AUUCGGUUCACUCGGUUCGGUUUUUAGGUAUAUAUGGUUUGGUUUGGUUUAUGAUUUCCGAACCGACUGAAAUCACAAAGCUACACUGUUUUUAUUACCUGUAUGUAUAUAUAUACACACUAAACAUUUAUCUAUUUCCCUAUUUGCUUUCAUUCCUCUUUCUUAGCCACUUCCUUUUUCAUCUCUUUGCAAUGGGUCUCACCCAACCCACG